AUGAACGCAAGUGAAUUCCGAAGGAGAGGGAAGGAGAUGGUGGAUUACAUGGCCAACUACAUGGAAGGCAUUGAGGGACGCCAGGUCUACCCUGACGUGGAGCCCGGGUACCUGCGGCCGCUGAUCCCUGCCGCUGCCCCUCAGGAGCCAGACACGUUUGAGGACAUCAUCAACGACGUUGAGAAGAUAAUCAUGCCUGGGGCGGCAAGCCCAGCAUGCACAGAGCUGGAGACUGUGAUGAUGGACUGGCUCGGGAAGAUGCUGGAACUACCAAAGGCAUUUUUGAAUGAGAAAGCUGGAGAAGGGGGAGGAGUGAUCCAGGGAAGUGCCAGUGAAGCCACCCUGGUGGCCCUGCUGGCCGCUCGGACCAAAGUGAUCCAUCGGCUGCAGGCAGCGUCCCCAGAGCUCACACAGGCCGCUAUCAUGGAGAAGCUGGUGGCUUACUCAUCCGAUCAGGCACACUCCUCAGUGGAAAGAGCUGGGUUAAUUGGUGGAGUGAAAUUAAAAGCCAUCCCCUCAGAUGGCAACUUCGCCAUGCGUGCGUCUGCCCUGCAGGAAGCCCUGGAGAGAGACAAAGCGGCUGGCCUGAUUCCUUUCUUUAUGGUUGCCACCCUGGGGACCACAACAUGCUGCUCCUUUGACAAUCUCUUAGAAGUCGGUCCUAUCUGGUGAAAAAGAGAACAGACUUAACGGGAGCCUUUAGACUGGACCCCACUUACCUGAAGCACAGCCAUCAGGAUUCAGGGCUUAUCACUGACUACCGGCAUUGGCAGAUACCACUGGGCAGAAGAUUUCGCUCUUUGAAAAUGUGGUUUGUAUUUAGGAUGUAUGGAGUCAAAGGACUGCAGGCUUAUAUCCGCAAGCAUGUCCAGCUGUCCCAUGAGUUUGAGUCACUGGUGCGCCAGGAUCCCCGCUUUGAAAUCUGUGUGGAAGUCAUUCUGGGGCUUGUCUGCUUUCGGCUAAAGGGUUCCAACAAAGUGAAUGAAGCUCUUCUGCAAAGAAUAAACAGUGCCAAAAAAAUCCACUUGGUUCCAUGUCACCUCAGGGACAAGUUUGUCCUGCGCUUUGCCAUCUGUUCUCGCACGGUGGAAUCUGCCCAUGUGCAGCGGGCCUGGGAACACAUCAAAGAGCUGGCGGCCGACGUGCUGCGAGCAGAGAGGGAGUAGGAGUGAAGCCAGCUGCAGGAAUCAAAAAUUGAAGAGAGAUAUAUCUGAAAACUGGAAUAAGAAGCAAAUAAAUAUCAUCCUGCCUUCAUGGAACUCAGCUGUCUGUGGCUUCCCAUGUCUUUCUCCAAAGUUAUCCAGAGGGUUGUGAUUUUGUCUGCUUAGUAUCUCAUCAACAAAGAAAUAUUAUUUGCUAAUUAAAAAGUUAAUCUUCAUGGCCAUAGCUUUUAUUCAUUAGCUGUGAUUUUUGUUGAUUAAAACAUUAUAGAUUUUCAUGUUCUUGCAGUCAUCAGAAGUGGUAGGAAAGCCUCACUGAUAUAUUUUCCAGGGCAAUCAAUGUUCACGCAACUUGAAAUUAUAUCUGUGGUCUUCAAAUUGUCUUUUGUCAUGUGGCUAAAUGCCUAAUAAACAAUUCAAGUGAAAUACUAA
This 1592-nucleotide unclassified non-coding RNA is filed under the name Homo sapiens (human). RNAcentral's name for it is "aromatic-L-amino-acid decarboxylase transcript variant 53". The record is from RNAcentral. Lineage: Eukaryota; Metazoa; Chordata; Mammalia; Primates; Hominidae.